Molecule: ribosomal RNA, 457 nt
Filed under: Clostridiales bacterium oral taxon C16
Lineage: Bacteria; Bacillati; Bacillota; Clostridia; Eubacteriales
Description: bacterial SSU rRNA
Rfam family: Bacterial small subunit ribosomal RNA
Source: RNAcentral
GAUGAACGCUGGCGGCGUGCUUAACACAUGCAAGUCGAACGGAGUUAAUUUGAGGAAGCAAGCUUGCUUGAAGAAUUGAAUUAACUUAGUGGCGGACGGGCGAGUAACACGUGAGCAACCUGCCUCUUACAGGGGAAUAACAACGGGAAACCGUUGCUAAUACCGCAUAAUAUGUUGAAAGGGCAUCCUUUUAACAUCAAAGGAGCAAUCCGGUAAGAGAUGGGCUCGCGUCCGAUUAGCUAGUUGGUAGGGUAACGGCCUACCAAGGUGACGAUCGGUAGCCGGACUGAGAGGUCGAACGGCCGCAUUGGGACUGAGACACGGCCCAGACUCCUACGGGAGGCAGCAGUGGGGAAUAUUGGGCAAUGGGCGAAAGCCUGACCCAGCAACGCCGCGUGAGUGAUGAAGGCCUUCGGGUUGUAAAACUCUUUGGACAGGGACGAAGAAAGUGACGUAC